RNAcentral lists this ribosomal RNA (301 nucleotides) under uncultured bacterium. RNAcentral describes it as "partial 16S ribosomal RNA". It matches the Rfam family "Bacterial small subunit ribosomal RNA", at positions 509 to 809 of the family's 1533-position model. The record is from RNAcentral.
CAGUAGCCGCGGUAAUACAGAGGGUGCGAGCGUUAAUCGGAUUUACUGGGCGUAAAGCGUGCGUAGGCGGCUUUUUAAGUCGGAUGUGAAAUCCCUGAGCUUAACUUAGGAAUUGCAUUCGAUACUGGGAAGCUAGAGUAUGGGAGAGGAUGGUAGAAUUCCAGGUGUAGCGGUGAAAUGCGUAGAGAUCUGUAGGAAUACCGAUGGCGAAGGCAGCCAUCUGGCCUAAUACUGACGCUGAGGUACGAAAGCAUGGGGAGCAAACAGGAUUAGAUACCCGCGUAGUCCCUGUCUCUUAUAA